This 73-nucleotide transfer RNA is filed under the name Camelus bactrianus (Bactrian camel). It matches the Rfam family "tRNA". Rfam says of the family: Transfer RNA (tRNA) molecules are approximately 80 nucleotides in length. Their secondary structure includes four short double-helical elements and three loops (D, anti-codon, and T loops). RNAcentral also lists the same sequence under 2 other names. Lineage: Eukaryota; Metazoa; Chordata; Mammalia; Artiodactyla; Camelidae. The record is from Rfam by way of RNAcentral.
GAGGGUAUAGCUCAAGUGGAAGAGUACAUGCUUAGCAUGCAUGAGAUUCUGGGUUCAAGCCCCAGUACCUCCU